UUGGAUGAUGAAUGAAUGGAUCGGUUUGUGGUACAAUUCUUAAAAUUGUAGUAGAGGAGACAGAGAAAAAACAUGAUAAGACUUUGGUAUUUACAACUUGACGGAGACAAGACAGUAAGCCAAAUCUGUCACAAAAACACUCAAACUCUUUUCUCAGUGUUUUGAGUUUAAAGAGAGACUUAUUCACUUCCCCUUUCGUAACACUUAUUUGUCUCCCAACCAAACAGUUUCUGUCCUUUCCCUUGUCCUCCCACGUGCAUCUUUAUAUCUCAUGACUUUUCGUUUCUAGAUCUUGAAUAAUGUCUUAGUGGAUUAGGUUUGUUGUCGG
This is a long non-coding RNA of Arabidopsis thaliana (thale cress), 328 nucleotides long. RefSeq annotates it as other RNA. Lineage: Eukaryota; Viridiplantae; Streptophyta; Magnoliopsida; Brassicales; Brassicaceae. The record is from RefSeq. The transcript has a single exon.